Molecule: ribosomal RNA, 513 nt
Filed under: uncultured bacterium
Lineage: Bacteria
Description: partial 16S ribosomal RNA
Rfam family: Bacterial small subunit ribosomal RNA
Source: RNAcentral
GACGAACGCUGGCGGCAUGCCUAAUACAUGCAAGUCGAGCGAACAGAUGAAGUGCUUGCACUUCUGACGUUAGCGGCGAACGGGUGAGUAACACGUAAGGAAUCUACCUAUAAGCGGGGGAUAACAUUCGGAAACGGGUGCUAAUACCGCAUAGUAUCUUCUUCCGCAUGGAAGAAGAUUGAAAGACGGCUCUGCUGUCACUUAUAGAUGACCUUGCGGUGCAUUAGUUAGUUGGUGGGGUAAUGGCCUACCAAGACGAUGAUGCAUAGCCGACCUGAGAGGGUGAUAGGCCACAUUGGGACUGAGCCACGGCCCAAACUCCUACGGGAGGCAGCAGUAGGGAAUCUUCCGCAAUGGGCGAAAGCCUGACGGAGCAAUGCCGCGUGAGUGAAGAAGGCCUUCGGGUCGUAAAACUCUGUUAUAAGAGAAGAACAAAUUGUAGAGUAACUGCUACAGUCUUGACGGUAUCUUAUCAGAAAGCCACGGCUAACUACGUGCCAGCCGCCGCCGUAA